Oreochromis aureus is the source of this 518-nucleotide long non-coding RNA. NCBI's taxonomy places the organism in Eukaryota, Metazoa, Chordata, Actinopteri, Cichliformes, Cichlidae. The record is from Ensembl.
UUCUACUGUGAGUUCUACUGUAGUGUAAUUCUACUACUGUAAUUUCAAGUUUCUACUUGUGAUUUCCAGCAAAAUGACUGGAUGUGAGAGAGUUUAACGACAGGAAAGAUGGAGCAGUGAGAGCAGAGAUCUCUCAGAAUUCUGAAAACAGAUCGACGAAGUUCUGGUAACUUCAAUUCCAAAAACUUAGAUUCUGGUAAAACUUGAUUUCAAGUCACAGGAUUGCGUUUCAACUCAGGUUCAAGCUUGUCAACUUAGAUAGAGCUCAUGGCGGAGAAAUGAUAGAAGAUAGAAUGGCUUGUCAAAAAAGAUGGAGCAGGGAGAGGGAGAGUGAUAGGACAGACUGAAUUGCUUGUUAAUGAUAGAGGGAGAGGGUUUUCUGCAGCAGGUCACCUGUAAGACAGAAAGAAAGUGGAAUUAGACACACUUCCAAUAAACCUGGCUUUACUGUAUUUUUCAGACUAUAAGGCACAUUUAAAAGCCUUUAAUUUUCUCAAAAAUAGACAGUGCACCUUAUG